Molecule: non-coding RNA, 179 nt
Filed under: Eubacteriales bacterium
Lineage: Bacteria; Bacillati; Bacillota; Clostridia; Eubacteriales
Description: 6S RNA
Rfam family: 6S / SsrS RNA
About the family: E. coli 6S RNA was the first non coding RNA to be sequenced, but its function was unknown until recently. It consists of 184 nucleotides that fold into an extended hairpin structure with a large single-stranded internal bulge. The 6S RNA specifically associates with RNA polymerase holoenzyme containing the sigma70 specificity factor.
Source: RNAcentral
AAAAGCCUGAGGUGUUCGAUAACUCCUGAUAUUUUGAACCUACACUUUUUGAUUGGGAUUCCUACAUUUAUGAGUGGAUGUCAAGCCUCCUUAGCAGUGGAAGACAGAUACUUAUCUGCGGUUGCCCACCUAGCGUAUGCUAGGACUCAAAAUUCAGGAACCGGCAUUUUGGGUAUUGU